RNAcentral lists this ribosomal RNA (253 nucleotides) under uncultured bacterium. RNAcentral's name for it is "partial 16S ribosomal RNA". It matches the Rfam family "Bacterial small subunit ribosomal RNA", at positions 524 to 776 of the family's 1533-position model. The record is from RNAcentral.
UACGUAGGGGGCAAGCGUUGUCCGGAAUCAUUGGGCGUAAAGAGCGUGUAGGCGGCCCGGUAAGUCCGCUGUGAAAGUCCAGGGCUCAACCCUGGGAUGCCGGUGGAUACUGUCGGGCUCGAGUCUGGAAGAGGAGUGUGGAAUUCCUGGUGUAGCGGUGAAAUGCGCAGAUAUCAGGAGGAACACCAAUGGCGAAGGCAGCACUCUGGGACGUGACUGACGCUGAGACGCGAAAGCGUGGGGAGCAAACAGG